RNAcentral lists this ribosomal RNA (253 nucleotides) under uncultured bacterium. RNAcentral's name for it is "partial 16S ribosomal RNA". It matches the Rfam family "Bacterial small subunit ribosomal RNA", at positions 524 to 776 of the family's 1533-position model. The record is from RNAcentral.
GACGUAGGGGGCGAGCGUUGUCCGGAUUCAUUGGGCGUAAAGCGCGCGCAGGCGGCCCGGUAAGUCGGAUGUGAAAUCCCGUGGCUCAACCGCGGAACUGCAUUCGAUACUGUCGGGCUAGAGGCAGGUAGGGGAGAUCGGAAUUCCUGGUGUAGCGGUGAAAUGCGCAGAUAUCAGGAGGAACACCGGUGGCGAAGGCGGAUCUCUGGGCCUGUCCUGACGCUCAGGCGCGAAAGCUAGGGGAGCGAACAGG